Molecule: long non-coding RNA, 1302 nt
Organism: Leucoraja erinaceus (little skate)
Lineage: Eukaryota; Metazoa; Chordata; Chondrichthyes; Rajiformes; Rajidae
Exons: 4
Source: RefSeq, a predicted model, not a curated record
AUGGGCCACAUCUCUCCCCCACCCCCCUCUCCCCGGGUUAUCACUGCCCGGAACCGCGGGGAGAACCUGUCUCAAUGUCUCCACGACUACAUUCAUGUAUAGCCGCCAGCCUUCUCCCUCCUGUAUGGACUAUCACGUAUUCAAUUUCUAGCAGUAACCUACCAACCCUCUCCACUCUGGGAUGUGGGACGAAACCGAAGCGCCCAGAGGAAAUCUAUACAGUCACAGGGAGAAUGUGCAAACUCCACACAGACAGCACCGAUGAUCAGGAUUGAACCCGUGUCUCUGGAGUGGUGAGGGAACAACUUUACCAGCUGCACCACUGUGCUGCUGACAUCUUCAUUGAAGAGAUUGCCAAACGAUAUCAACUACACUGAGUACAGAAAGCUGAAUAUGUCUGUUCUGUUGGUACACAAAAAUGCUGGAGAAACGCAGCGGGUGCAGCAGCAUCUAUGGAGCAAAGUAAAUAGGCAACGUUUCGGGCCGAAACCCUUCUUCAGACUUCAAGAUUUCCAGAAUCUGCGGUGAAUGGUUGUUUUCGAUGUUAUUGUCUUCUUUGUCCUCUGAAAGAGAUGUAAAAGAACGCCCUGCAUCAUUCACGGAAGGACUGGGAUUUGCCUCUGAACAUGGGGAACAUUUUUCAGCUAAUACCAUCCCCUCAGAUUAUUAUUCAUCAUGACCAGUUUGCAGGAUAUUGGUGUACGUUUACACAGUACGACAUUGACAACCCCCCAAAAUGGCUCAAAACCACUUUGAAACAACCCAGUGUUGUGAAGUGGGCGUUGCUUCCAGUGGUUUGGUCGAAGGUGCUCACUUAUGUAAAGUCCCAGUGAUGCAGAGCUACUGAGGCUACAUUUCCACUGGAACUACAUGAAAUCAACAGCAAUGGCCAGUGCUUCAAGGCAUAGGGUUUUGUUUAACGAACAUUUGGAUACAAUUGAAGCAAUCUAAGACGUUGGAUUCGGAUGUAAUUGCUUCAGGUGACUGUGGCGGAGAAAUGUAUUUCGGUCACUGACAUGGGUUUCCAAGAAGAUUACAAUGCACUGCUGCUCCCAAAAUAACUUCUAUCACUAGAGGCCAAGGACAGAUUUAUAUUUUCAACACUUUUAUCGCAGAUCAUUUAUAUGAUAAAUUUGGACCUGCAUUAUCAUUUCCAUCGUACAAAGUAUGUCAUGCUAUUUAUUUCAACACAGCCUAAGGCAUUCAUUUGUCUAUCCCCUUGCCAAUACUUCAAAUACACCUGUUAAAAAUAAACCCAACACACCUUCUCAAAAUAUUCCAUUAAAAUAAAAAUGCCAUUAA